UUUUAUGGAGAGUUUGAUCCUGGCUCAGAGUGAACGCUGGCGGCGUGCCUAAUACAUGCAAGUCGAACGAUGAAGCUUCUAGCUUGCUAGAAUGCUGAUUAGUGGCGCACGGGUGAGUAACGCAUAGGUCAUGUGCCUCUUAGUUUGGGAUAGCCAUUGGAAACGAUGAUUAAUACCAGAUACUCCCUACGGGGGAAAGAUUUAUCGCUAAGAGAUCAGCCUAUGUCCUAUCAGCUUGUUGGUAAGGUAAUGGCUUACCAAGGCUAUGACGGGUAUCCGGCCUGAGAGGGUGAACGGACACACUGGAACUGAGACACGGUCCAGACUCCUACGGGAGGCAGCAGUAGGGAAUAUUGCUCAAUGGGGGAAACCCUGAAGCAGCAACGCCGCGUGGAGGAUGAAGGUUUUAGGAUUGUAAACUCCUUUUGUUAGAGAAGAUAAUGACGGUAUCUAACGAAUAAGCACCGGCUAACUCCGUGCCAGCAGCCGCGGUAAUACGGAGGGUGCAAGCGUUACUCGGAAUCACUGGGCGUAAAGAGCGCGUAGGCGGGAUAGUCAGUCAGGUGUGAAAUCCUAUGGCUUAACCAUAGAACUGCAUUUGAAACUACUAUUCUAGAGUGUGGGAGAGGUAGGUGGAAUUCUUGGUGUAGGGGUAAAAUCCGUAGAGAUCAAGAGGAAUACUCAUUGCGAAGGCGACCUGCUGGAACAUUACUGACGCUGAUUGCGCGAAAGCGUGGGGAGCAAACAGGAUUAGAUACCCUGGUAGUCCACGCCCUAAACGAUGGAUGCUAGUUGUUGGAGGGCUUAGUCUCUCCAGUAAUGCAGCUAACGCAUUAAGCAUCCCGCCUGGGGAGUACGGUCGCAAGAUUAAAACUCAAAGGAAUAGACGGGGACCCGCACAAGCGGUGGAGCAUGUGGUUUAAUUCGAAGAUACACGAAGAACCUUACCUAGGCUUGACAUUGAGAGAAUCCGCUAGAAAUAGUGGAGUGUCUGGCUUGCCAGACCUUGAAAACAGGUGCUGCACGGCUGUCGUCAGCUCGUGUCGUGAGAUGUUGGGUUAAGUCCCGCAACGAGCGCAACCCCCUUUCUUAGUUGCUAACAGGUCAUGCUGAGAACUCUAAGGAUACUGCCUCCGUAAGGAGGAGGAAGGUGGGGACGACGUCAAGUCAUCAUGGCCCUUACGCCUAGGGCUACACACGUGCUACAAUGGGGUGCACAAAGAGAAGCAAUACUGCGAAGUGGAGCCAAUCUUCAAAACACCUCUCAGUUCGGAUUGUAGGCUGCAACUCGCCUGCAUGAAGCUGGAAUCGCUAGUAAUCGCAAAUCAGCCAUGUUGCGGUGAAUACGUUCCCGGGUCUUGUACUCACCGCCCGUCACACCAUGGGAGUUGUGUUUGCCUUAAGUCAGGAUGCUAAACUAGCUACUGCCCACGGCACACACAGCGACUGGGGUGAAGUCGUAACAAGGUAACCGUAGGUGAACCUGCGGUUGGAUCACCUCCUUUCUAGA
Molecule: ribosomal RNA, 1510 nt
Filed under: Helicobacter pylori
Lineage: Bacteria; Pseudomonadati; Campylobacterota; Epsilonproteobacteria; Campylobacterales; Helicobacteraceae
Description: bacterial SSU rRNA
Rfam family: Bacterial small subunit ribosomal RNA
Source: RNAcentral